RNAcentral lists this long non-coding RNA (3138 nucleotides) under Heterocephalus glaber (naked mole-rat). RNAcentral describes it as "lncRNA (ENSHGLG00000049091.1)". The record is from RNAcentral. Lineage: Eukaryota; Metazoa; Chordata; Mammalia; Rodentia; Bathyergidae.
AUUGCACAGUCACUUUGGAAAACACUGAAGAUGAACCAGCACUUCUACUCCUAGAUAUGUGCUUUAAGAGAAAUGAAAAUGUAGGUCGAUACAAGGGCUUUCAUACAACUGGUCAGCAGCAUUGCUCCUCACACCUAAAAAUGAAACUCUAAAUGUCCAACUGAAAUGGAUAAGUGAAAUGUGGUGUAUUCUGUCCAUACAGGUAAUUAUUGUUCAGCAGUAAGGAGCCAUACUAUCCUCCACGGUCUCUUCAUAGAACUUCAGGAGUUGACAUCUCUGGACCUGUCAGGUUUCAUGUGUGUUCCCCAUUCCCUGAAUGACUUAGCCAAGUCCUACUCGUUCUAUGUUUUCUUCUGUAAAUACUUUAGAGUGCUGGGUUAUUUUCUGAGGAUUGCUUACAUUCCGUUGUGUGUACCAUAAUGGGUCAUUAAUAGUUCAUUGUUGGUCAGGGAGGUUUGUUCUUCUGUACUGCUUUGGUGAACCAUCCCGCAGCAGGGAAGCCUGUGUGUGUGUAUCCUCCUGAGCAACCAUGUUUCAAUUGAAUUCCAUGACCCAGAGCAAUAUGUUGUCUGAAAAAUUGUGUAGCAGAUUUUUAUUAUUAUUUUUUAAAUACUUUAAAACAUAUUCUAAAAAAGUUUAACAUAAUACAUACUCUCAGAUCUUAGGGUGAGAAAAGCCGGGGACUGCUUCUACACUGGGAAUGACAAUGAGGGCGAGGGUGUUGCCAUAUCCCUAGGGAGGGGUCCCCAGAGUUCUGGCUUCUCUCUAACAGAGCAUCUUGUAUGCAGGCCCAGCAGCCAGCACACAGGAUGGACCGGGUAGACUGUGGUGCUGUGGGAGCCCCAGGUAAGGGGAAGAACCCAGCCAGGGGCCAAGGGUUACAGCGGGUUUUGCAUGCACAGAGUAUGGGGAAGCAAGACAGGCUGGGGUGGAGUCAGAUAGUGAGUCAGAUUGGAGGAGCAGGAGGAGUCUAUGAUGGAGUUUUGAGGAAAAAUUAGAAGUUAGAUGAAGGGGGAGGCUCUGUGUAGAAGGUUGAAAGUAUGAAAUAGCAAGACUUAAACCUUACAUCACUUCUGAGAAUAGAUUUUAGUUUAACUUCCUUAUUGGCAGGCAUACUUCGAAACUGACCCUAGGGUGCUGUAGGUUACCUGAGGCCACUGAGGUAAUUGUUGAGUGAACCUAGCCAACCUGGGCUGGCCUGCUUUACCCUGGAGGGGCUCCCUCUCCAUUUGCAGCCAGCUCCCUGGGGGCUCAUGUUAGGCUUCUGCCCUCGAUGGCUAGGUGUCCUUUUACUUAUGCUGGCAUUUACCAGGUGGAUUCCUGUUCACUCAAGGGUGUUGAUUGGCGCUUGGGCUGGUGCCCCCCCACCUCAGUCCCCCAGGACUUCCCUGGACUCUAGCACUCCAGGCAGCACCUCUGCACCCUGUUUUCCCUCAAAACUCUGGUGAAUCUCCUGCUGCCUCACUUGACUACAUCCUAAGAGAUCCACACACGUGCUCAGACAUGUGCAUGGCUGCUUCCAUUCAACCUUGGGUGUUUCACAGAACCUGCCCAAAGUUUAAAUGAUAGUGUGGGCCAAUAAAAAUACCAGGAGGGCCUGAAGAAGAGCUGGGAUAGGUAGAAGGUAAAUAUCACUGGCCAUGAUGAAAAAGGAGCUAAUUUUCCUUCCUUGACAUGGUGAGAGCAAAGCAAAUGAUCACAUCUCCUGAUUGUAGCUGGGAAAGUAGGUGGGAUUUGGACCUAAUUGCUUUAUUUUAAAGUUGACCUUAUUGUGCUUGAAUUUUAUUUCGGGUAACUUUUGAGAAAGUGUUUCUUUCUCAUGAUAUAUUUGUACAGUAUUCAAACUAGUUCAUCUGUUUUCUAGCAGUCAGACCAAUUAGGACAAAGCUGUGUUCUCCAUGUUUGAAUCAAGAAACUAGUGUACAGUUAGUGUAUGACAGAGUUCAGACUUAUGGCCUCAGGUGCUGAUUAGGAGUUCUUGCUUGUGGCCUGAGAAACAUUUGAUUGCUAUUGUUUAACCAGAUGAGAUGUAUUAGAAGAAUUCAGAGCAGGCACAGUGUUUUUCUUCCUCCUAGAAGUUUGUGUGUUUUGGGCAGAUGACCUUACAAACACUGAUAAGGAUGCUAGUGAAAUAAGUCUGUUUUGUAUUUACAGGUCAGAUGGAUUCUGGAUGAAAUGAAAGGGGAAGAAGAUAAGGUUUUUUCUCUCAUCUUUCUCCUUUUUCUCUUCCCCUACUCCUUUGCAUCUCUUCUUUCCUUUAAAAAGUUAUUAACUCAGUAAUUAACUCUGGCUGGUGCAGGGCGAGCAACUGCCCUACAUGUCUGGACACUUUGUUCUUACGAGCUGAACACCAAGCCUAGGCACAUGUUAGCUGUUUGUUUUCAAACUCAUUGAUGCCAACUGUACUUUUACCAUCAGUGUAUAAUUUCAGUAAAUAUUGUCUGAGUGUUUUAAUAUAUGAGUAGGGAGAAACGUAUUUCUGUAAAAGCUAAAUUUGAAUGAUUUGGGGAGACUUGACAAAGGCAGUAAACUUAAAACAAGCUACCAAAAUAAGUUCGGGGGAGACAGUUGUAAAGAGGCAGGAAAGAUUUUGUAAACAUGAUUUUGUUUUUUGCAGAGUAUGUCUGUUUCUAGCUCCACUUUAAGAUGAAUACCGGAAGUGGCAUAUUAGGGUUUACACAAGUAAGACAGUGAGAAACUCCGGUCCAAGAAUUCAUACUCCACAAAAAGACCCAGGUACUGCCCCAGUUGAGACUGACAGCAAGGGACAGUUGGUUAAAGUACAAUUAAGCCACAAGCCUGUGUCUAGCAGGGAAGAGUAAUAUUUAAUGUAUCUUUUUUUUUCUUUUUCAUUUUUUUAUUAGUACAUAUCUGUAAUAUGUAAUGAUUUUAUUCAUAUAUAAUCAUUGGAGUUGGUACAUGUACAUAGCACAUCGUGAUUCUUUUUUCUAACCCCCCAUGUGUGUCUUUCUGCCGAUUGUUUUAACUGACUUAGUUAAAAUUACCUAACUAAGCUAGUAGUGAUUACUUGGAGGAAGUGGGCUGUAACCAUGAUUGUGCUCCUACUAUAGACUGCCGAGUUCCUUGCGCUUUAAAUUGCCCAUGGUUAGAAAGCUACUGAGGCCAAGUAGAUUGGCC